This 467-nucleotide ribosomal RNA is filed under the name uncultured bacterium. RNAcentral describes it as "partial 16S ribosomal RNA". It matches the Rfam family "Bacterial small subunit ribosomal RNA", at positions 29 to 507 of the family's 1533-position model. The record is from RNAcentral.
ACGAACGCUGGCGGCGUGCUUAACCCAUGCCAGUCGAACGGAAAGGCCCUGCUUUUGUGGGGUGCUCGAGUGGCGAACGGGUGAGUAACACGUGAGUAACCUGCCCUUGACUUUGGGAUAACUUCAGGAAACUGGGGCUAAUACCGGAUAGGAGCUCCUGCUGCAUGGUGGGGGUUGGAAAGUUUCGGCGGUUGGGGAUGGACUCGCGGCUUAUCAGCUUGUUGGUGGGGUAGUGGCUUACCAAGGCUUUGACGGGUAGCCGGCCUGGGAAGGUGACCGGCCACAUUGGGACUGAGGGACGGACCAGACGCCUACGGGAGGCAGCAGGGGAGAAUAUUGCACAGUGAGCGGGAGCCUGAUGCAGAAACGCCGCGUGCGGGAUGACGGCCUUCGGGGUGUAAACCGCUGUCGCCUGAGACGAAGCGUGAGUGACGGUAAUGGGUAAAGAAGCACCGGCUAACUACGUG